GUCCCAUCCCGAACCCGGAAGUCAAGCCCUCCUGCGUCGAUUCCUGUACUGUGGUGCGAGAGCCCACGGGAACGUUCGUCGCUGUGCCAC
RNAcentral lists this ribosomal RNA (90 nucleotides) under Methanobacteriota archaeon. The record is from RNAcentral. Lineage: Archaea; Methanobacteriati; Methanobacteriota.